This 253-nucleotide ribosomal RNA is filed under the name uncultured bacterium. RNAcentral describes it as "partial 16S ribosomal RNA". It matches the Rfam family "Bacterial small subunit ribosomal RNA", at positions 524 to 776 of the family's 1533-position model. The record is from RNAcentral. RNAcentral also lists the same sequence under 1 other name.
UACGGAGGAUCCAAGCGUUGUCCGGAUUUAUUGGGUUUAAAGGGUGCGUAGGUGGAUAAUUAAGUCAGGGGUGAAAGCCUGCAGCUCAACUGUAGAACUGCCCUUGAAACUGAUUAUCUUGAAUAUGGUUGAGGUAGGCGGAAUGUGUCAUGUAGCGGUGAAAUGCUUAGAUAUGAUACAGAACACCAAUUGCGAAGGCAGCUUACUAAGCCAUUAUUGACACUGAGGCACGAAAGCAUGGGGAGCAAACAGG